RNAcentral lists this ribosomal RNA (253 nucleotides) under uncultured bacterium. Its description in RNAcentral is "partial 16S ribosomal RNA". It matches the Rfam family "Bacterial small subunit ribosomal RNA", at positions 524 to 776 of the family's 1533-position model. The record is from RNAcentral.
GACGUAGGGCGCGAGCGUUGUCCGGAUUGACUGGGCGUAAAGCGCACGCAGGCGGAUGCGCGCGUGGGGUGUGAAAUCUGGCCGCUUAACGGCCAGGCGCCAUCCCAUACGGCGCGUCUGGAGUGAUGCAGAGGUCGAUGGAAUUGCCGGUGUAGUGGUGAAAUGCGUAGAGAUCGGCAGGAACACCCAGGGGGAAACCAGUCGACUGGGCAUCUACUGACGCUGAGGUGCGAGAGCGUGGGGAGCGAACCGG